AUUGAACGCUGGCGGCAUGCCUUACACAUGCAAGUCGAACGGCAGCGCGGACUUCGGUCUGGCGGCGAGUGGCGAACGGGUGAGUAAUACAUCGGAACGUACCCUGUUGUGGGGGAUAACUAGUCGAAAGAUUAGCUAAUACCGCGUACGACCUGAGGGUGAAAGUGGGGGACCGCAAGGCCUCACGCAACAGGAGCGGCCGAUGUCUGAUUGGCUAGUUGGUGGGGUAAAGGCCCACCAAGGCGACGAUCAGUAGCUGGUCUGAGAGGACGAUCAGCCACACUGGGACUGAGACACGGCCCAGACUCCUACGGGAGGCAGCAGUGGGGAAUUUUGGACAAUGGGGGCAACCCUGAUCAAGCAAUGCCGCGUGUGUGAAGAAGGCCUUCGGGUUGUAAAGCACUUUUGUCCGGAAAGAAAUCGCGCUGGUUAAUACCUGGCGUGGAUGACGGUACCGGAAGAAUAAGCACCGGCUAACUACGUGCCAGCCGCCGCCGUAA
RNAcentral lists this ribosomal RNA (500 nucleotides) under uncultured bacterium. RNAcentral describes it as "partial 16S ribosomal RNA". It matches the Rfam family "Bacterial small subunit ribosomal RNA", at positions 30 to 523 of the family's 1533-position model. The record is from RNAcentral.